Molecule: ribosomal RNA, 547 nt
Filed under: Pestalotiopsis portugallica
Lineage: Eukaryota; Fungi; Ascomycota; Sordariomycetes; Amphisphaeriales; Sporocadaceae
Description: partial large subunit ribosomal RNA
Rfam family: Eukaryotic large subunit ribosomal RNA
Source: RNAcentral
ACGGCGAGUGAAGCGGCAACAGCUCAAAUUUGAAAUCUGGCCCUCGGGUCCGAAUUGUAAUUUGUAGAGGAUGAUUUUGGUGCGGUAUCUUCCGAGUUCCUUGGAACAGGACGCCUUAGAGGGUGAGAGCCCCGUACGGUUGAAUGCCUAGCCUCUGUAAAUCUCCUUCGACGAGUCGAGUAGUUUGGGAAUGCUGCUCUAAAUGGGAGGUAAAUUUCUUCUAAAGCUAAAUAUUGGCCAGAGACCGAUAGCGCACAAGUAGAGUGAUCGAAAGAUGAAAAGCACUUUGAAAAGAGGGUUAAAUAGCACGUGAAAUUGUUGAAAGGGAAGGAUUUGUGACCAGACUUUUUCUGGGCGGAUCAUCCGGGGUUCUCUCCGGUGCACUUUGCCCAGUAAAGGCCAGCAUCGAUUUUCGGCGGCGGAUAAAAGCAGUGGGAAUGUGGCUCCCUACGGGGAGUGUUAUAGCCCAUUGUAUAAUACGCUGCUGGGGAUCGAGGUACGCGCUUCUGCAAGGAUGCUGGCGUAAUGGUUAUCAAUCACCCGUCUU